GACGUAGGGCGCAAGCGUUGUCCGGAUUUAUUGGGCGUAAAGAGCUCGUAGGCGGCUUGUUGCGUCGGAUGUGAAAGCCCGGGGCUUAACUCCGGGUCUGCAUUCGAUACGGGCAGGCUAGAGUUCGGUAGGGGAGAUCGGAAUUCCUGGUGUAGCGGUGAAAUGCGCAGAUAUCAGGAGGAACACCGGUGGCGAAGGCGGAUCUCUGGGCCGAUACUGACGCUGAGGAGCGAAAGCGUGGGGAGCGAACAGG
RNAcentral lists this ribosomal RNA (253 nucleotides) under uncultured bacterium. RNAcentral's name for it is "partial 16S ribosomal RNA". It matches the Rfam family "Bacterial small subunit ribosomal RNA", at positions 524 to 776 of the family's 1533-position model. The record is from RNAcentral.